CAAUUAACUCUAUUUCUCUGUUUCAAUUACCAAUUAACUCUAUUUCUCUGUUUUUCUGUGAUUACUAUCAUUACCACAUGAGAGAUGAGAAUAAUAAAGAAAAGAGAGGAAGAAAAGAAAAGGAGAUGGUGCACUAUCAUUAUUGUUGCACUAUCUCCUCAAAUUGCAUUUCCAUUGUCACCAAAGAGUACUUCAACAACUUUAGUUUAACUCUCUUAUGCUUUCCACUCAUAAAUUUCCAUUCCCUCUUAACACAUUUCCUUUUGGUUCAAAAAUGGUGUUUAGCAAUUUUAGCAACAUGUGGUGAUUAUUGUCAUGUUGUAGAAUAUAGGAGAAUCAUUCAAAGUAAAUGAAAAAAAAGAAGCAAUCACUUUGGCAAUAAUUCAACAUAUUAGUGCUCUUAUGAUGCUAGUGUGUUUAAGCAAUAAUUCAACGUAUUAGUGCUCUCUAUACAAGGUUCAUGAACAUAGUACAUAGUAGUGAUUUUCCAACACUACUUCAACCUUUUCUUUUUCCUCAUUCCACAAAUGGUGUUAUUUUUUUUUACAAACAAACAUGCAUUUGGGGAAUGAAGCUAUUUCUUAAUUAAUUUCAACUUUGCCCUUGUGUUUUCUUAUAAAUGAGGACAUCUCAAGCUCUCAAAUGCAUACCAUUCACAUUAAUCUCACUCAUAAGAGUUUCUUUGCUUAAGUGAUUAAGUUUCAAGUGUGUGCAAUUACUUCAGUAUGAGGAUGUCUAUUAUUAAACUCGCUUUUCUAUUAGUUUUCAUCUUUGCACCAGAUAUGUGCCAAAAAUUAGA
RNAcentral lists this long non-coding RNA (799 nucleotides) under Lupinus mutabilis. RNAcentral describes it as "partial ncRNA". The record is from RNAcentral. Lineage: Eukaryota; Viridiplantae; Streptophyta; Magnoliopsida; Fabales; Fabaceae.